This 1458-nucleotide ribosomal RNA is filed under the name Triticum aestivum (bread wheat). RNAcentral's name for it is "partial small subunit ribosomal RNA". The record is from RNAcentral. Lineage: Eukaryota; Viridiplantae; Streptophyta; Magnoliopsida; Poales; Poaceae.
AUGAGCCCCUUCGUUUGCACUCUACUCUUCCCCGAUACACCCCUUCUCCCGCGGAAGCCCGCGCCUUUCAAACGCGCUACAACCAUCCGAUGCCGCGCCGCGCCGCCCCCGGGAGACGCCGCUCUCCGCGCCUUCCGCGUGCACCACAUCGCUGGGCACUCCCUCGGCGCCAACCCCGCCCUGUUGCCCGCCCUCGCGGCCUGCGCGCGGCUGCUGACGGCGGCGGCCGAAGCCGAGCAGAUCCACGCCCUCCUCUUCAAGUCCGGCCUCCCUAGUUCCGUCUCCGGCGUCUACGCCUCCACCUCCCUCGCCCGUGUCUACUCGCGGCUCGGCCGCCUGGGUGACGCGCGGAAGGUGUUUGAUGGAAUGCCUGAGAGGACGUUGGUUUCUUGGAACGUGCUUCUUGACGGCCUUGUCAGAGCCAGCGAUUUGGAUGCCGCCUGGGAGGUGUUUGCGGAAAUGCCGGAGCGGAAUGUGUCUUCUUGGAAUACUGUUAUGGCUGGUUUCGUUAGUCAUGGGUGGGCUCAAGAGGCAGUGGAGUUGUUUUCUGAGAUGACAGAGGUUUAUGGUUUGACGCCGGAUGAGGCCACGAUGGUUGGCUUUGUAUCUGCUGUUCGCAGUCUCGGUCUACUUGGACUUGGGAGGACCGCACAUGGUUAUGUAAUCCGGCAGGAGUUCUCACUGGAUGGUGCUCUUGGUGUUGCUCUGAUCAACAUGUACACAAGGUGUGGGUGCAUGGGUGCGGCAUACCAAUGCUUCUCAAGCGUCAUCAGCAAGAAUGUGGAGCACUGGACCUCUGUCAUCGGGGGUUUCGCAGCACAUGGUCACCCAGAGAUGGCACUGAAAUUGUUUGCCGAGAUGAGGCAAUUGGGCGUCAAGCCGAAUGGUGUCACCUUCGUGGCCGUCUUGAAUGCCUGCAGCCAUGGUGGUCUUGUUGAUGAAGGUUUUAGGUACUUCAACCUAAUGCGCAACAUGGGUAUCAGGCCAUCGAUCCAGCACUAUGGCUGCUUGGUGGAUCUUCUUGGUCGUGCUGGGUUCUUGGAAGAAGCCUUCAACCUCGCUAGCAGUCUACCAGAAGAGCAGGGCUUUGUGAUGUGGAGCUCACUACUAGCUGCUUGCCAAACCCAUGGCAAUGUCGACAUGGCAGAGGUUGCUGCCCAGAAGUUGGCAGACACAAAGCCAAGCCAUGGCAGCUCAUAUAUUUUGCUAUCAAACGCCUAUGCACGUGCUGGUCAAUGGGACGACUUGAAGAGGACAAGAAGCAGGAUGGAGGAGCAUAGGGUGGUGAAGAAGCCUGGGCUCAGCUGGAUCGAGGUUGAUGGCAGUUUACAUUCCUUUGUCACUGCAGACAAGUUACACACAGAAAGCGAAGAUAUUUAUCAUAUGUUGGAAGACUUGAAACUUAAUUUGAUAUCAGCUGGUUCCGAACCUGAAACAUUUGAUCUUCCUGAAGUUUGA